This 107-nucleotide ribosomal RNA is filed under the name Chaetomium globosum. Its description in RNAcentral is "5.8S ribosomal RNA". It matches the Rfam family "5.8S ribosomal RNA", at positions 1 to 106 of the family's 154-position model. From Rfam's summary of the family: 5.8S ribosomal RNA (5.8S rRNA) is a component of the large subunit of the eukaryotic ribosome. It is transcribed by RNA polymerase I as part of the 45S precursor that also contains 18S and 28S rRNA. Functionally, it is thought that 5.8S rRNA may be involved in ribosome translocation. Lineage: Eukaryota; Fungi; Ascomycota; Sordariomycetes; Sordariales; Chaetomiaceae. The record is from RNAcentral. RNAcentral also lists the same sequence under 1 other name.
AAACUUUCAACAACGGAUCUCUUGGUUCUGGCAUCGAUGAAGAACGCAGCGAAAUGCGAUAAGUAAUGUGAAUUGCAGAAUUCAGUGAAUCAUCGAAUCUUUGAACG